This 232-nucleotide long non-coding RNA is filed under the name Trifolium pratense (red clover). Its description in RNAcentral is "long non-coding RNA (TPRA_LNC009588)". Lineage: Eukaryota; Viridiplantae; Streptophyta; Magnoliopsida; Fabales; Fabaceae. The record is from RNAcentral.
AUCAAUCAUAGAUCACUAAGGUCUUUCUUAAGCUUGUAAUGGGGCUAGGCUACAAGAAAUCAUUGUUUUUCUUUGGAUUCAAAAAGCCUUAAGGAUAAGAGAGCACACAAAAUCUUCAAAAAUUCAUCUUAUGAUUCAUUUACUCCCUUUCACUUUCCCCAUAUUUCCAUUUGUGGUGAUUCUUUUAUUUUGACACUUUUUUACAAAGAAUUUCUUUCUUUUCUCAUUUCUU